AUUGAACGCUGGCGGCAGGCCUAACACAUGCAAGUCGAGCGGAAGCAGGGAGCUUGCUCCUGGAUUCAGCGGCGGACGGGUGAGUAAUGCCUAGGAAUCUGCCUGGUAGUGGGGGAUAACGUCCGGAAACGGGCGCUAAUACCGCAUACGUCCUGAGGGAGAAAGUGGGGGAUCUUCGGACCUCACGCUAUCAGAUGAUCCUAGGUCGGAUUAGCUAGUUGGUGGGGUAAAGGCCUACCAAGGCGACGAUCCGUAACUGGUCUGAGAGGAUGAUCAGUCACACUGGAACUGAGACACGGUCCAGACUCCUACGGGAGGCAGCAGUGGGGAAUAUUGGACAAUGGGCGAAAGCCUGAUCCAGCCAUGCCGCGUGUGUGAAGAAGGUCUUCGGAUUGUAAAGCACUUUAAGUUGGGAGGAAGGGCAGUAAGUUAAUACCUUGCUGUUUUGACGUUACCAACAGAAUAAGCACCGGCUAACUUCGUG
RNAcentral lists this ribosomal RNA (484 nucleotides) under uncultured bacterium. RNAcentral describes it as "partial 16S ribosomal RNA". It matches the Rfam family "Bacterial small subunit ribosomal RNA", at positions 30 to 507 of the family's 1533-position model. The record is from RNAcentral.